UUGUGACCGCGGGCAGCCGCGGGCAGAGCUUGAAAACGCUUUUGCGCCUUCUGUAAGACUCUGUCUGAGGAAAGUCCGGACUGCCGGGAGCAGGGAGUCCUUUUGAAAAGAAGGAUGCUGCGGACCAUAUUCCGCAGAAAGACAAGUGCAACAGAAAUUAUACCGCCUCAGGAAGUUUCUUCCGGGGGUAAGGGUGAAAUGGCGGGGUAAGAGCCCGCCGGGCGGUGUUGAGAGACCCGCCGCAGAUGUAAACUCCUCCCGCAGCAAGACCAAAUAGGGAACGAGCCGCCGCUCCCCGGCGCUUGAAGUUCCGGGUUCUGGUCGCACAGACAGAUGGCUGCCGCCUGCUUGAAAAAGCGGGUACAGAAUCCGGCUUACAGCGAUUGCUUGCAC
Molecule: RNase P RNA, 393 nt
Filed under: Lentisphaeria bacterium
Lineage: Bacteria; Pseudomonadati; Lentisphaerota; Lentisphaeria
Description: RNase P RNA component class A
Rfam family: Bacterial RNase P class A
About the family: Ribonuclease P (RNase P) is a ubiquitous endoribonuclease, found in archaea, bacteria and eukarya as well as chloroplasts and mitochondria.
Source: RNAcentral